This 253-nucleotide ribosomal RNA is filed under the name uncultured bacterium. RNAcentral describes it as "partial 16S ribosomal RNA". It matches the Rfam family "Bacterial small subunit ribosomal RNA", at positions 524 to 776 of the family's 1533-position model. The record is from RNAcentral.
UACGGGGGGGGCAAGCGUUGUUCGGAAUUACUGGGCGUAAAGGGCUCGUAGGUGGCCAACUAAGUCAGACGUGAAAUCCCUCGGCUUAACCGGGGAACUGCGUCUGAUACUGGAUGGCUUGAGAUUGGGAGAGGGAUGCGGAAUUCCCGGUGUAGUGGUGAAAUGCGUAGAUAUCGGGAGGAACACCAGUGGCGAAGGCGACUACCUGGCCUGUUCUUGACGCUGAGGCGCGAAAGCUAGGGGAGCAAACGGG